Molecule: long non-coding RNA, 805 nt
Organism: Phacochoerus africanus (Common warthog)
Lineage: Eukaryota; Metazoa; Chordata; Mammalia; Artiodactyla; Suidae
Exons: 3
Source: RefSeq, a predicted model, not a curated record
GGAUGGUUCUGAGAGACUAGCCGGGAAAUAAGGAAACCCUGGUCUAGAUCCACUUCGUUGGUUAUCCAUUCUUUUAAAGUAGGCAGCCUUGAGGCAGCCUACAAAUGGAGGUGGAGUCAUGCAGAAGAGAGAAGCUUUGCAGAAGUGUGGCGGUGAGAAUGGGAAAAUGAUAUGACGAGAAUGAGCCUGACGUGUUGUAAGGAAAGUGCUUGCAUUUUAUUCAUUGGUGGUUUUCAAGAUUAACCUGGGUUUGAAAUUUCAGAAGAGCUGCAAAGAACAAGACCACCCUCCGGCCCCUUUUCCUUAUCCUAUUUGUCUCCUAUAAUCAUACAUCUGCAUAUAAUCCAUCAAAACGGUUGUCAAAUAUAACCCUGGGAAAAGUCGGGGGCGUAGAUUGAAUGCUUCUCUUCCAACGCUUCUUUAGAAGCAAAGAAAGAAGGUUUGAUCCCUUAAGUCAAGGGAAAAAAAAGCCAAAACUGUCAUUGGAGGUGUCCAGGAGAAGCAACAAGAAGAUAGUAAAUAUAAUAAUGAUUAAAAUAAGAGGAAUCAAGACAUAAAGUUUUUCUUUUGUCCCAACUUAAAUAAUGAAAAAUAACCCCCAGAGGCAGAUUUCUCUUAAAGACAAAGAAACUCAAGUUUCUGAGUGCUCACUUCCUAAACAUUUUCUAAAUCAGUAUUCACUCUCCGGCUGAAUUUUGUAUUAUUUUCCUGAAGGAGGGUCGUCUGAAUUACAUCAGUUUCAAGGUACAUGAGGCCUGGGUCCAUCCUUGUGAAAGACAUUUCUAGUUACAUUUCUGCAUAUCAC